This 252-nucleotide ribosomal RNA is filed under the name uncultured bacterium. Its description in RNAcentral is "partial 16S ribosomal RNA". It matches the Rfam family "Bacterial small subunit ribosomal RNA", at positions 524 to 776 of the family's 1533-position model. The record is from RNAcentral.
UACGGGGGGGCAAGCGUUGUUCGGAAUUACUGGGCGUAAAGGGCUCGUAGGGGGCCAACUAAGUCAGACGUGAAAUCCCUCGGCUUAACCGGGGAACUGCGUCUGAUACUGGAUGGCUUGAGUUUGGGAGAGGGACGCGGAAUUCCAGGUGUAGCGGUGAAAUGCGUAGAUAUCUGGAGGAACACCGGUGGCGAAGGCGGCGUCCUGGACCAACACUGACACUGAGGAGCGAAAGCCAGGGGAGCAAACGGG